Molecule: long non-coding RNA, 2079 nt
Filed under: Homo sapiens (human)
Lineage: Eukaryota; Metazoa; Chordata; Mammalia; Primates; Hominidae
Description: HSALNT0020669
Source: RNAcentral
ACACACACACACACACACACACGCCAGUCUUAUCAUAAGCCUGGCAGAGCAGCUCAGGAUGGAAAAAUUUCAUAAUUGAGAUGGAUGGAGGAGGUGCCACUAAAACUGGUGGAAAACAAGCCCCACCUGCCCCCACUCUACGUGAUGACACCUUUCCAGGAGCCCUCAGAUCCCUCCCUGCUUUUGUCCCCCCUUGAUCUGCCCUUCUUGUCCCCAAGUACUGUCAAGGACCUAGGAGAUCCCCUUGGGAGCACUGGAGUUUGGUGACAUACAGAAAGCCCAUUCCACCAAGAGUCGAGAUGGUGCCCCACCAGCCCUCAACCCUGGCCAGCUACAAACAUCUGGAGGCAGGAAAUUCACCCAGUGACCAGAAUCUUGGAGGAGGUACAUGAGUCUUAAAUGGAGCUCCCAAUACUACUCCAACUUCUACCCAGCCCCAGCAGGUCCUCGGGGACCCUCCAUGCUCCCCAAACCAAACGAUUCCUCCAUCUCUCCAUCUCUGGGUGCAGGAGGCGUGGCUUGAAGAGACGUUAAGAAAAAAAAUCCUGGAAUAGGUACAGGUUAAUGGGCAUCUCCAGUUAGCCCUGCACAGUGGGAUCAGAAAGACCACUAAGACCCAAGCAAGGGAGGCAAACAUGUACAAACUGAGCUGCAACUCAUGUUAGGAUAAUCUGAACUUCAAAGGCACAAUGGGCUUCUUGUGAGAUCCCAGGGAAGGAGCCAUGAGUGAGGUCUGGGUGACUGUGAAGGCUCUGGAGGACCUGGCGUUUGGACUAGACCUUGGGAGUGGAGCAGGGUUUCCACAGGGAGAGGAAACUGGGGAAAGAUUUUGCUGAUCCUUCAAGCUGCACCUACAAAGUGAGAUCAGAGAUUCUGAGCCCUGCCCUUUCUACCACACCAGCUGGGCAGGACAAAGGCAAAUUCAUGGAUCUGAGUGGAUAUGAGUCCAGACUGUGAUACCUGUUUGGGCCAGUCACAUGACUUCUCUGAGCCUUGAUUUUCUCACCUGUAAAACAGGAAUGCCAGCCAUUUCACAGAGUUGCCAUGAAGAUGAAAUCAUUCAAGCCAAAAGUGCCUGCCGCAUAAUAGAUGCUCAAUGUAUGUUUCUUGAGCAGAUACAUGUAACUUAUGGCACUUUACAAGGGAUUUCUCUCACAAACACAUUUUGAUCCUCCAACAACAUUUUGUCAUGGUCCCUGCUCUCAGUCUAGUAAUGUAAAAUAUUACUGACCCCCAUCACACAUUGCAAGCAGCACUCACUUCUUUGGAAAGCUGAGCUCUGCAUGCAACAUGCUGCCCAAGAAGGAAAGGAAGCAGCACUGGAGACCUGUGUUUCAUAGCUAACCAAGAUAAGGGCAUUUUUUUCCAAAUGUCUGUGGAGGGGGUCACACCAUUUUAACUAUUUACUGCUGUAACCCCAUUUUUAAAGUGUAGUCUGUGAGCCAUCUGAAUCAAAGUCUCUUGCAAAAUCCCGGCCAAAAUCCAGACAUACUGAAUCAGAGGGUCAGGUCCCAGAAUAGGCAUUUUGAACAAACUCAGGUUCAUAAAGCUUGAAAAGUUUUUGGGGCUGUUGUGCCUGUUGUUCUCUUAGUCUGGGACACUCUUGUCCAGAUUGACAAAGGGCUUGCUUCAUUCAGAUCUGCUUAAAUGUCUGCUCCUCAGAAAGGUCUUUCCUGACUACUCAAUCUAAUAGAGUAGCCUCUAUCACCUUCAUCCCCUUAAUGUGCUUGAUUUUUCAUCAAAGUGCUUACAACCUGAUAUCAUAUUACUCUUGUGUCUGUUUAUUGUCUGGCUCUUUCACUAAAUGCAAGCUUCAUGAACAUAUCCAUUUCACUGUUGUACCUUUAGUGCCUAGAACAGUGCUUGAUACAUAGUGGAUAUCAGAGAAUUACUCAUUAAAUGAAUGAAUAACUGCUCUAUGCCCUUGAAGAUUGCACUGGCCAUUAGCGCUGAUUGCCAAAUAUUUCCAGCCCUUUCCCCUUCUGAGCACAAGGUAGAAUUUUACAUCUGCUCCUGUUUGUAGAGUGGGGUCAUAUGACUAGUUCUGGCCAAUAAGCUGUGAGCAAAAGUGACUGGAGC